RNAcentral lists this ribosomal RNA (494 nucleotides) under uncultured bacterium. RNAcentral's name for it is "partial 16S ribosomal RNA". It matches the Rfam family "Bacterial small subunit ribosomal RNA", at positions 28 to 507 of the family's 1533-position model. The record is from RNAcentral.
GACGAACGCUGGCGGCGUGCUUAACACAUGCAAGUCGAACGGAAAGGCCUGCUUUCCCUUGUGGAUUGCGGGUACUCGAGUGGCGAACGGGUGAGUAACACGCGAGUGAUCUGCCCCCAACUUGGGUAUAAGCCUGGGAAACUGGGUCUAAUUCCCGAUAGGACUGCAGGGUGGUGCCUGUGGUGGAAAACGAUUUUCUAGUGGUUGGGGAUGAGCUCGCGGCCUAUCAGCUUGUUGGUGGGGUAAUGGCCUACCAAGGCGGCGACGGGUAGCCGGCCUGGGAGGGUGGACGGCCACAUUGGGACUGAGACACGGCCCAGACUCCUACGGGAGGCAGCAGUGGGGAAUAUUGGGCAAUGGGCGGGAGCCUGAAGCAGCGACGCCGCGUGGGGGAUGACGGGCUUCGGGUUGUAAGCUCCUUUCGACCGCGAGGAAGCCACCUGGUUGGAAGGGUGGUGACGGUAGUGGUAGAAGAAGCACCGGCUAACUACGUG